RNA transcript from Canis lupus familiaris (dog), 4088 nucleotides. RefSeq lists it as uncharacterized. Lineage: Eukaryota; Metazoa; Chordata; Mammalia; Carnivora; Canidae. The transcript is spliced from 7 exons. The record is from RefSeq and is a predicted model, not a curated record.
CCCCGCCCAGGCCCCGCGUCCCUCCCUCCCGAGGCGGCGCCGCCCUCCCUGGGAGCCCGGGAAGUCCGCGGGGCGCCCCCCGCUGUUCCUGGAGGGAGACAGUGGGACGGGGGAGCCGGCCUAGGGCCCCGGGCCACAGCCCCCACCCCCAGGGCUCCCCAGCUUCAGCUCCAGUCCCUUCCAGGGCCCCCACCAGGACUCUCUGCUGGCUCAGCCCAACACCUUCCUCCCAGGUUUCUAGCGAGCGCUUGUGGACUUCAUGCUCUGCCUGCGUGGGGCCCCCUGAGGGACAGCACGACCCCGUAGGACCACCUGCUGCGUCUGCCAGCCACCUCUGCCUACUUCCAGUGGGACCCCUGCCUUGGAACUGUGCUAGCCCUGCUGUGCCCCACAGCUCAGCACCCCCUAACUUUCCAAGAUUGUCCCCCACACCUCCACCCCUGGCCCUUCCUGGCUGCCUUGAAAUUCAGAGCCCUGCGGUGGCUCUCCUAAUAAGUGAGGAAGAAGCUGAGGCUCAGAGAUAUUCUCCCCCGCUGGUGCGGUGAGGGGAAGUCCCCCAGACAAGACUGCUCAGAGAAGGCACCAGGGUAGGUGGGCCUGGCUCCAGGGACAGAAUCCAUCACUUCCUCAUCUUAUCUGGCUCUUACCUGAGGCUCACACAAGACGACGACCUGACCGACCUGACCUGACCGACCUGACCGAGAGAGUCCUACGAGACUGGACGCUCCCCAGAGGCAGGAACCAGAGCAUCUACUUCACUUCUGAAGCUGCCAACUACCGAAGCAGUUGGGAAGCAGAUGGGACAAAAUGAGACCAAGCCGGCGAAGGGCCGAGAAGCCGCGCUCCAGAAAUCGGCCGUGCUCGCUGCUGCCACCCGGCGGAGGGAGGCGGGAGAACCGGCGAGCGGGCGGCCCGGGCCGUCAGGAGGAGGGAAGCGCCGAGGCUCCGAGGCCAGCACGACCCAGGAACGUGACGCGUGGCGCACAGGAGGUGCUCAUACAGCGACUGUCCCUUCGGCCCAAGACCGACACGCAUGGCCAGGGGGGACUCAGGCUGAGGCCCAGGAAGACCCACGCAUCUCCCAGGCCUCCUGGGUCUGUUCAGAUCACCCGAUGUAAGUCACCAGACUGUCGGCAGAAUUCAGAGACUUGGCAGGUGGAAAGUGCUCAGAGAACAGUGUCUGGCACAUAAGAAGACCAGUGUGUCACCAUUAUUACCCCUACUCUCAACACUCAGGUCUUGAUCUCAUGGUCAUGAGUUCAAGCCCCACACUGAGCUCCAUGCUGGGCAUGGAACCUACUUAAAAAAACAAAAACAAAAAACUUGUCCUGUUGCCGUCAUCCCCGUGGCGGUCAGCAGCAGCACCAUCACCAGACGAGGCCCACUGUGAUUACAAAGGUCCUAUGUCCCAACUGCCAGGCACAGGCGCUGGUGACCCUAUUCUAGAGACCGACAGGCACUCCUUUGGUCUACCCUGCAACCAAUCAAGAGCCUUCCAGUACCCCAAAGAGAUUGUCCCCUGGAGCCAUGGGGCACACAGAUGUUCACUGCAGCACCAUUUAUGGAGGUGUACCCCAGGGAGUCCCACGCGGUGGACACAAGUAAUGGAGCAGACAUGACACAGAGCAGAUGGACAGAUCUUUAAAAGCAUAGAGCAAAGUGGAAAAAAAAAAAAAAACAGAAAAGGAAGAGCCAGGAUGAGAUCUACAAGGCAAAGCCGUCUACAUAAAUUAAAACUGCUGGCACAGAAGCAUGCGUGUUAUGUAAGAACAGGGACAAACAAGGAAUCCAAGUUAAACCUUCAUGUUUGAAAGUGAAGUUAAAAUGGUGGCCUGUGGGAGGGACAGGAGGGCAGGCAGCUCUGCGUGGACCAGUGGUCAACUGUGCCAGGGACAGAGGAGUAUAACCAAGGCCUCCUGCAUACCCAGUGGUGGUCCAGUGAACACGCCAAAAAUAAAACAUCUGUGGGGUGAGGCUGAUUGGGGUUCAAAUCCCAGUCCCACCAUUUAGGGGCAGUGGCUUUGUGCUCUGUCCCCUCCUGAGCUGCAAGGCGCUCUUCCUCUAUGAAAGGGGCGUGCCACCUUGCAGGGGUAAGAGCUUGGGUGCCGGCACUCGCACCCAGGGGCGCCUAGAAAGGGUCCAUUUCUUGUCACUCUAGUCCUCAUCGCUGCUUGGCAGGUCUCCCUCAGCUCCUGGGCAGCACCUCUAGCUGGUGCCCAGCACAGCGGCCGAGGUUCGACAGGAAUCCACGGAAUUGGUACCCCAUCCCCAAAUCCAGCCUGGCUGGCCUGCGAUACAACACCCAGGGGUUGGAAAGUGGUCAUCCAUCCACUUCCUCUCUGCCCCCAUCCCCACCAGCCAGCCCUGUGGCUGCGGGGGAGUCUGGAGCCUAGCAUGUGCAGUCCUUGGCCCUUCUAAUCCCUCUUAACACCCCCUGCGCCAGGAGGGCUUGAUGCUCCUGGCAACCCUGAUCCCCAGCCGCCCCCAGUGCGCCUGCUGAGGCCUGUGUUGUCCAAAGUUGGAUUUAGGGAAACCCGAGCUGGUCCCAAGGCGUAUGGCAGGAUCUGGCCCCAGUCCUCCACACAGCAUCCCCCUCGCAGGCCCCCUCAACCUCCCUUCAAUAAGGGAGUCAACGUUAUUUUUUUCCUCACCUCCCCAAGAUCAUCAUUUGCCCAUAAGACACCUUCAUGCCAAUUAAAAAGAAGUUCCCCUUUGUCCACAGAGAGAGUAUGGCAAGAGGCAUUCAAGCUGGAUUUCAGCCCCUAUUCAAGCUGGAUUUCAGUCCCUUGUGCAGUGAACAACCUGUUCAACGGUACAUUGCAGCCUUCCUCCUUAGCCUGGACUACUCCAGACACACUCAAAGGUCAUGGGGAAGGCCCCACUCUCUCUGAAGCUGAACUCCUAGGCACAGGAGGUCUCCUGGCUCCAAAGCCCGACGGGUCAAGCUUGGACAUGGAUUCCAAGAGCCAGGACGUGAAAACUUCGUUUCUUCCAAUCCAGGGGUCCUGCCCCAGGGCCCCCCGCUGGGAGCCUAGGUUUCUGAGGCUACUCUGGGCUUCAGACUCCUCUUCCUCCUUACCCUGGAGGAGACCACUGUCAAGUUGUGCUCCUUUUCCUGCCUACCCGCACCCCCUCUACGGGGACCGUCGUGAAGAUAUUGUGGGGUAACAGGUGUAACAGAGCCAACAUCCCACUGCUCACCAGGCCUUUCUUCAUUGGACGCAGGAGCAGGGGGUCAUACAAACCCGGCGGUUCUCCCUUCAAAUGCCAGGGGUUCGAAUCCCAGCUCCACCACCAACUGGGUGAUCCUGGGCAAGGCCCUUCCCCUGAGCCCUUUACUGUCAUCCGCAAAACAGGGGCGAAUGCAUCUCCACCCUCACGGGCGCCCGAGAGCCGGACCUAAUCUGCGCACCCAGCCCUGGGCCCCUGGACGCCGCAGCUCGGAGACGGGCACCGGGGAGAAAAGCCUGGAGUGCCCCCCACCCCCAGCCGCUCAGCUCCAGCAGUCCUGGAGGGGGGAGGCGGGAGAGGGCUGGAGAUGGCACCCCCGCCUCGGAGAGCAGCCUGCCAGCGCUGCGGAGCUGGGGGCCCCCAGGUUCUCAGAAAAGCCCCCUUUUCACGGUUUAAUUGAAUAUUUGAAUAAUCCUUUCAUUCCAGCGAGGCAUAAAGAAUGUUGUCCCAAUAGCGGUGACUCAGGCAGGCGCCCCCGCGCACAAUGGCCCCUCGAGUGGGGCUGCUAUUCAGGCCGCCUUUUGUUGGCGCGGAGCAGUGGGUAAAUUGCAAACGCUUAAGGGAAUGCUACGGCGGCAGCCUCAAUGGGAGUCAGGAAAUCGAAUGUUAGGUCAAUCCAUUAAGCUUCGAUUAAGUCCUCGGCGGAACAAUGCCAGCCGGGCCCAUCUUCAUAAACACCGCGAUUGCCAGGAGAGAGGCACUAAUUUUAAUUAAACCUCCUUACCUGCCUCCACGCCUGCCGGAGACGGCUAUUUAGACGCCAAAUGGCAUCCUUCUGCGGAGGCAGGCGGGAAGGAGGCGCUGAGGGGGCUGCGGGCAAUGGGGUGGGGUGCAGUGGGGAGGCGGCUGUCACAGGA